This 887-nucleotide ribosomal RNA is filed under the name Gaeumannomyces tritici. RNAcentral's name for it is "LSU rRNA". It matches the Rfam family "Eukaryotic large subunit ribosomal RNA", at positions 61 to 978 of the family's 3401-position model. The record is from RNAcentral. Lineage: Eukaryota; Fungi; Ascomycota; Sordariomycetes; Magnaporthales; Magnaporthaceae.
GAAACCAACAGGGAUUGCCCUAGUAACGGCGAGUGAAGCGGCAACAGCUCAAAUUUGAAAUCUGGCCCCAGGCCCGAGUUGUAAUUUGCAGAGGAUGCUUUUGGCAAAGCGCAUACCGAGUCCCCUGGAACGGGGCGCCACAGAGGGUGAGAGCCCCGUAUGGUACGACGCCGAGCCUCUGUAAAGCUCCUUCGACGAGUCGAGUAGUUUGGGAAUGCUGCUCUAAAUGGGAGGUAAAUUUCUUCUAAAGCUAAAUACCGGCCAGAGACCGAUAGCGCACAAGUAGAGUGAUCGAAAGAUGAAAAGCACUUUGAAAAGAGGGUUAAAUAGCACGUGAAAUUGUUGAAAGGGAAGCGCUCGUGACCAGACUUGCGCCGGGCGGAUCAUCCAGCGUUCUCGCUGGUGCACUCCGCCCGGCUCAGGCCAGCAUCGGUUUUCGCCGGGGGACAAAAGCUUCGGGAACGUGGCUCCCUUCGGGGAGUGUUAUAGCCCGUCGUUUAAUACCCCGGCGGGGACCGAGGACCGCGCUUCGGCAAGGAUGCUGGCGUAAUGGUCAUCAGCGACCCGUCUUGAAACACGGACCGAGGAGUCAAGCAUUAGUGCGAGUGUUUGGGUGUAAAACCCGCACGCGUAAUGAAAGUGAACGUAGGUGAGAGCUUCGGCGCAUCAUCGACCGAUCCUGAUGUUUUCGGAUGGAUUUGAGUAGGAGCAUUAACGCUUGGACCCGAAAGAUGGUGAACUAUACUUGAAUAGGGUGAAGCCAGAGGAAACUCUGGUGGAGGCUCGCAGCGGUUCUGACGUGCAAAUCGAUCGUCAAAUUUGAGUAUAGGGGCGAAAGACUAAUCGAACCAUCUAGUAGCUGGUUACCGCCGAAGUUUCCCUCAGGA